Molecule: ribosomal RNA, 657 nt
Filed under: uncultured bacterium
Lineage: Bacteria
Description: bacterial SSU rRNA
Rfam family: Bacterial small subunit ribosomal RNA
Source: RNAcentral
GCAUGGUCUUGUUAUUAAAGAAUUUCGGUUAUCGAUGGGGAUGCGUUCCAUUAGGCAGUUGGUGAGGUAACGGCUCACCAAACCUUCGAUGGAUAGGGGUUCUGAGAGGAAGGUCCCCCACAUUGGAACUGAGACACGGUCCAAACUCCUACGGGAGGCAGCAGUGAGGAAUAUUGGUCAAUGGGCGCAGGCCUGAACCAGCCAAGUAGCGUGAAGGAUGACUGCCCUAUGGGUUGUAAACUUCUUUUAUAUGGGAAUAAAGUUUUCCACGUGUGGAAUUUUGUAUGUACCAUAUGAAUAAGGAUCGGCUAACUCCGUGCCAGCAGCCGCGGUGAUACGGAGGAUCCGAGCGUUAUCCGGAUUUAUUGGGUUUAAAGGGAGCGUAGGUGGACAGUUAAGUCAGUUGUGAAAGUUUGCGGCUCAACCGUAAAAUUGCAGUUGAUACUGGCUGUCUUGAGUUCAGUAGAGGUGGGCGGAAUUCGUGGUGUAGCGGUGAAAUGCUUAGAUAUCACGAAGAACUCCGAUUGCGAAGGCAGCUCACUGGACUGCAACUGACACUGAUGCUCGAAAGUGUGGGUAUCAAACAGGAUUAGAUACCCUGGUAGUCCACACAGUAAACGAGGAAUACUCGCUGUUUGCGAUAUACAGUAAGCGGCC